AUUGAACGCUGGCGGCAGGCCUAACACAUGCAAGUCGAGCGGAUGAAGGGAGCUUGCUCCUGGAUUCAGCGGCGGACGGGUGAGUAAUGCCUAGGAAUCUGCCUGGUAGUGGGGGAUAACGUCCGGAAACGGGCGCUAAUACCGCAUACGUCCUGAGGGAGAAAGUGGGGGAUCUUCGGACCUCACGCUAUCAGAUGAGCCUAGGUCGGAUUAGCUAGUUGGUGGGGUAAAGGCCUACCAAGGCGACGAUCCGUAACUGGUCGGAGAGGAUGAUCAGUCACACAGAACGUGACAAGCGGCCAAGCCCCAUAGGGGGGGCAGCAGGGGGGAAUUUGGGAAAAGGGGGGAAAUCCUGAUCCACCCAUGCCGGGGGUGUGAAGAAGGUUUUCGGAUUGGAAAGCAUUUUAAGUGGGGAAAAAGGGGAGUAAGUUAAACCUUUGCUGUUUUGACGUUACCAACAAAAAAAGCACCGGCUAACUUCGU
This 483-nucleotide ribosomal RNA is filed under the name uncultured bacterium. RNAcentral's name for it is "partial 16S ribosomal RNA". It matches the Rfam family "Bacterial small subunit ribosomal RNA", at positions 30 to 506 of the family's 1533-position model. The record is from RNAcentral.